GGGGACGUGGUGGAACUGGCAGACACGUAGGUCUCAGAAGCCUAUGGGUAAAACCGUGGGGGUUCAACUCCCCCCGUCCCCA
This 82-nucleotide transfer RNA is filed under the name Chlamydiota bacterium. Its description in RNAcentral is "Chlamydiae bacterium (groundwater metagenome) tRNA-Leu". It matches the Rfam family "tRNA". From Rfam's summary of the family: Transfer RNA (tRNA) molecules are approximately 80 nucleotides in length. Their secondary structure includes four short double-helical elements and three loops (D, anti-codon, and T loops). Lineage: Bacteria; Pseudomonadati; Chlamydiota. The record is from RNAcentral.